GGGCACACCGCUUCACUCGGAUCGUCCGGCACGUACCUGCCGGUGAAGGAAGGACCGA
Non-coding RNA from Curtobacterium flaccumfaciens, 58 nucleotides. NCBI's taxonomy places the organism in Bacteria, Bacillati, Actinomycetota, Actinomycetes, Micrococcales, Microbacteriaceae. The record is from Rfam.